UGCCAAGCAACUCCUAUCCCUACCUCCUCGUGGUACUGGCCGGGGAAUGAGUACCCUGAGGGAAGA
This 66-nucleotide ribozyme is filed under the name Aedes aegypti (yellow fever mosquito). RNAcentral describes it as "drz-agam-1 ribozyme". It matches the Rfam family "drz-agam-1 ribozyme". Lineage: Eukaryota; Metazoa; Arthropoda; Insecta; Diptera; Culicidae. The record is from Rfam by way of RNAcentral.